GUCGAGAAUCUUUCACAAUGGGGGCAACCCUGAUGGAGCGACGCCGCGUGGAGGAUAAGGUCUUCGGAUUGUAAACUCCUGUCAUGUGUGAACAAGGUUGCUUGGUUAAUACCUGGGCAAAUUGAUGGUAACGCAAGAGGAAGAGACGGCUAACUCUGUGCCAGCAGCCGCGGUAAUACAGAGGUCUCAAGCGUUGUUCGGAAUCACUGGGCGUAAAGGGUGCGUAGGUGGCGUGGUAAGUCAGAUGUGAAAGCCCGGGGCUCAACCUCGGAACUGCAUCCGAUACUGCCAUGCUAGAGUACUGGAGAGGUGACUAGAAUUCUCGGUGUAGCAGUGAAAUGCGUAGAUAUCGAGAGGAAUACCAAAGGCGUAGGCAGGUCACUGGACAGUUACUGACACUGAGGCACGAAGGCCAGGGGAGCGAACGGGAUUAGAAACCCCUGUAGUCC
This 449-nucleotide ribosomal RNA is filed under the name uncultured bacterium. Its description in RNAcentral is "partial 16S ribosomal RNA". It matches the Rfam family "Bacterial small subunit ribosomal RNA", at positions 354 to 796 of the family's 1533-position model. The record is from RNAcentral.